Molecule: ribosomal RNA, 216 nt
Filed under: Glomeromycotina sp.
Lineage: Eukaryota; Fungi; Glomeromycota
Description: partial small subunit ribosomal RNA
Rfam family: Eukaryotic small subunit ribosomal RNA (bases 44-216)
Source: RNAcentral
GGGUCAGUAGGUUGGUCGUGCCACCGGUACGUACUGGUCCCACUGAUUCCUCCUUCCUGAAGAACCGUAAUGCCAUUAAUUUGGUGUUGCGGGGAAACAGGACUGUUACUUUGAAAAAAUUAGAGUGUUUAAAGCAAGCUAACGCUUGAAUACAUUAGCAUGGAGUAAUGAAAUAGGACGAUCGAUCCUAUUUUGUUGGUUUCUAGGAUUGACGUA